This 94-nucleotide non-coding RNA is filed under the name Ruminococcus flavefaciens. RNAcentral's name for it is "THF riboswitch". It matches the Rfam family "THF (Tetrahydrofolate) riboswitch aptamer". From Rfam's summary of the family: THF riboswitch presents a pseudoknot that joins P1-P2 and the loop of P3 and two THF binding. The record is from RNAcentral. Lineage: Bacteria; Bacillati; Bacillota; Clostridia; Eubacteriales; Oscillospiraceae.
AGAGUAAAAGCGAGUUCGUUAAGUGCCUGUCGGACGGGGAGUUGCCGAUAGGACGAAGGCGCAGUGCGCCGCGGUUCGCGCUUUGCAUCCCGCU